Molecule: non-coding RNA, 384 nt
Organism: Plectropomus leopardus (leopard coralgrouper)
Lineage: Eukaryota; Metazoa; Chordata; Actinopteri; Perciformes; Serranidae
Source: the annotation of a RefSeq genome assembly
GUGGACACACAGUUUAAAAUGAUGGACUACAGGACAGGACUGCUGCUGUUAACUAUCUGCUGGGCAGGUGUUGCUGCUCAGACGCUGACAGAAUCUGAGCCAGUUAUUAAAAGGCCUGGAGAAUCCCACAAAUUGACUUGUACAGCCUCUGGAUUCACAUUUAGUGACUACUACAUGCACUGGAUCAGACAGGCUCCUGGAAAAGGACUGGAGUGGGUCUCCAGAAUUGAAAGUGGUAGUGGUAGCAGCAAACUCUACUCUGAGUCAGUUAAAGGCCGGUUCACCAUCUCCAGAGACAACAGCAGACAGCAGCUGUAUCUGCAGAUGAACAGUCUGAAGACUGAAGAUUCUGCUGUUUAUUAUUGUGCACGAUACCCACAGUGA